AGCGGCGUACGGGUGCGGAACACGUGUGCAACGCUUUAUCUGGGGGAUAGCCUUUCGAAAGGAAGAUUAAUGCCCCAUAAUAUGUUGAAUGGCAUCAUUCGACAUUGAAAACUCCGGUGGAUAGAGAUGGGCACGCGCAAGAUUAGAUAGUUGGUGAGGUAACGGUCACCAAGUCUACGAUCUUUAGGGGGCCUAAGAGGGUGAUCCCCCAACUGGUACUGAGACACGGCCAGACUCCUACGGGAGGCAGCAGUGGGGAAUUUUGGACAAUGGGCGAAAGCCUGAUCCAGCCAUUCCGCGUGCAGGAUGAAGGCCCUCGGGUUGUAAACUGCUUUUGUACGGAACGAAACGGUCCUGGUUAAUACCUGGGGCUAAUUGACGGUACCGUCAAGAAUAAGCACCGGUAACUACGUUGCCAAGCAGCGGCGGUAAUAACGUAGGGUGCGAAGCGGUUCAAUCGGGAAUUACUGGGCCCGUAAAAAAGCCGUUGGCGCCAGGCCGGGACAUCGGUAACGGAACCAGGCUGGCUCNAAAAAUCCCCCCCAGGGGCCUUUAAACACCUCUGGGGAACAAUCUGGGCCAUCUCAGCGGCNGAAACCG
This 600-nucleotide ribosomal RNA is filed under the name uncultured bacterium. RNAcentral's name for it is "bacterial SSU rRNA". The stretch from base 1 to 447 matches the Rfam family "Bacterial small subunit ribosomal RNA", at positions 94 to 537 of the family's 1533-position model. The record is from RNAcentral.